GACGAACGCUGGCGGCGUGCUUAACACAUGCAAGUCGAACGGAAAGGCCCUGCUUUUGUGGGGUGCUCGAGUGGCGAACGGGUGAGUAACACGUGAGUAACCCGCACCUGACUUUGGGGUAACUUCUGGAAACUGGGGCGAAUAUCGGAUAGGAUCUCUUGCUGCACGGUGGGGGAUGGAAAGAGUCGGCGGUUGGGGAUGGUAUCGCGGCUUAUCCGCUUGUUGGUGGGGUAGUGGCUUACCAAGGCUGUGAAGGGUAGCCGGCCUGAGAGGGUGACCGGCCACAUUGGGACUGAGAUACGGCCCAGACUCCUACGGGAGGCAGCAGUGGGGAAUAUUGCACAAUGGGCGGAAGCCAGAUGCAGCGGCGCCGCGUGCGGGAUGACGGCCUUCGGGUUGUAAACCGCUUUCGACUGUGCUGAAGCGUGAGUGACGGUAAUGGGUAAAGAAGCAACGGCUAACUACGUG
RNAcentral lists this ribosomal RNA (468 nucleotides) under uncultured bacterium. RNAcentral's name for it is "partial 16S ribosomal RNA". It matches the Rfam family "Bacterial small subunit ribosomal RNA", at positions 28 to 507 of the family's 1533-position model. The record is from RNAcentral.